GCGGGGAGCCCGGGCGGUGCGCGCGCGAACCCCGUCCUGUACAUGCGGGAGACUGAGGCCCGGGCGGGAGGCAGGGCCUGGCCGGAGCGGCGCAGCGGGAUCGCGGCCGGGUGACCCCACAUCCGCGGCGUUCCCGACCCGAGAGGCCGCGAGGAUCCCAGGUGGGAUCCCUAAGCCCGGAUUAUAUCUGUCCAAGAUGCGAGUCUGGUUUUAUCGAGGAGCUUCCGGAAGAGACCAGGAGCACAGAAAAUGGUUCUGCCCCCUCCACAGCUCCCACAGACCAGAGCCGGCCACCGUUGGAGCACGUGGACCAGCACCUGUUCACGCUGCCGCAGGGCUACGGACAGUUUGCUUUCGGCAUCUUCGAUGACAGCUUCGAGAUCCCCACGUUCCCUCCUGGGGCGCAGGCUGACGACGGCAGGGACCCUGAGAGCCGGCGGGAGAGAGACCAUCCGUCCCGGCACCGGUACGGCGCCCGACAGCCCCGCGCCCGCCUCACCACGCGGCGGGCCACCGGCCGGCACGAAGGCGUCCCCACGCUGGAAGGG
Molecule: long non-coding RNA, 548 nt
Filed under: Homo sapiens (human)
Lineage: Eukaryota; Metazoa; Chordata; Mammalia; Primates; Hominidae
Description: non-protein coding lnc-POLRMT-4:2
Source: RNAcentral